Long non-coding RNA from Panicum hallii, 1474 nucleotides. RefSeq lists it as uncharacterized. NCBI's taxonomy places the organism in Eukaryota, Viridiplantae, Streptophyta, Magnoliopsida, Poales, Poaceae. The record is from RefSeq and is a predicted model, not a curated record. The transcript is spliced from 2 exons.
CAACCAGAAACAUGCGGAACGCUGCGCUUGUCCGGGUACACUGACGAAGCAGAAAUGCAGAGAGCACUUCACUUGUCACUUCUACUCUGCCAUGCAUAUGAUGCAUCCGAGUGGCACCUCGUGCCAAUGCGAGAUCCUCCGUUUUCGCCCGAUUGUCAUGGCAUCUAUGGCUGUGAACGAAGAGGCGUGAGCCGGUUCUGCAGGCUUGGUGCAUUAGCAAGAUAGGAAGCUGUCCUUGCCUGGGUGUAGAUAUGGCUCAUGACAUCUGCUCUACACUUUGGAGUCCCGUUCCGUGGUGUUUCCCAUUCCCGAACCCAUCUGCUGAAGUUCUCUGGAUGGCAAUAGUAUGGCAGGCUCUCCCUAUGGCUCUCUUGCAUUGUACCCAGCAGGCAGUAGCUGCAAGCUCUAGCACCUCUUAUAUAUGGACUGCAGAUCGAGGAGGAUAGGACGGGAGUACAAUAUAAAUUAACCGGAAAGCGAAUAAUACUAUAUAUCCAGCACAGAUGAUGCGAAAUGCAAUGGGCUCUGCUAGCUGAAUAUGACGACUAUCAUCAGUGUUGAUGUUGAUUCGGCUAGCACCUAAAGGAACAAUGGCCCCAUGCUCACAUCUGCGAUCAACAGUAAUGAAGAUGAGUUAUUGUGGCAUUAUUAUUACCUAUUGUUGUGCCCCUUGCAUAAAAAUCUUGAAAAAGCCAUACAUUUACUUCGUGCGAGAAAAUUUAUCACUAGAGCAAAGAGGACAUGCUUUCUGAUCCUUUUCCUCAAAGUGCACAUAUGAACAUUAUUUGCAGAAAUUAUGGAAGACAUAUAUGAACUUAAUUCCUGAGAGAGUUUCAGAGGAAGCAGUUCAUUUCUGUGUAACAACUUCAGUUGCCUUGGAGAGCACAGGUGGAGUUGCUUGGCAUUCACGAUUGCGUCAUGGAAUUUGUGGAACUGUAUGUGUGCAUCUUACUCCCUCCAUCCCAAACUACAAGGCAUCCUAGAGAUUUUAGGUCAGGAGGAGGGAGUGAUUACCAAUGUCAAUUCUACUAGGUGAGAAGCGAGAGUGCGAAAAAACAAUGCAACAUUUUAGCAAGAAGGUGUGUCUAGUCCGGCUGAAGUGAACUGAAUAUGCUCAAACUAAUCAAUGGACACACCUAGAUUGAGUAGUACUGGUAGGGACUACAUGCCACGGAAGACUAGUGUGGUAAUUAGCAUGCAUGUGACAUUUGUGUUAAUUUACUUCACAAGAAUCCUCGCUGUAUAUUGAUUCGAUCGUGCUAUACCAAGACCAUAUGUGGGUUCGUUUCCUGCCAUUUUGCCUGAUGGCCAUUGCAGCUCCACUUGUAGGGUCGCAUAAACCCUUUCUAGUCUCAUGGAUGAGCAAAGUUGGAGUGUAACCUUGCUUGCGUACGUAUAUGGCUAGCUAUAGCUGUAUAAGAUCUCAAGAUCCUCUUUCCUGAUGUUUCCCAAUCCCAUUGUUGUUUUCUGUAUC